AGUGGGGAAUAUUGGACAAUGGGCGCAAGCCUGAUCCAGCAAUGCCGCGUGGGUGAAGACGGCCUGCGGGUUGUAAAGCCCUUUAGGUGGGGAAGAACGAUGCCGGGUGAAUAGCCGGGUGUUAUGACAUUACCCACGGAAUAAGCACCGGCUAACUCCGUGCCAGCAGCCGCGGUAAUACGGAGGGUGCGAGCGUUAAUCGGAAUGACUGGGCGUAAAGCGUGCGUAGGUGGUGGUGUUAGUCAGCCGUGAAAGCCCUGGGCUUAACCUGGGAAUGGCGGUUGAAACGGCGCGACUUGAGUGGGUUAGAGGACUGUGGAACUCCUGGUGUAGCGGUGAAAUGCGUAGAGAUCAGGAAGAACACCGAUGGCGAAGGCAGCGGUCUGGGACCACACUGACACUGAGGCACGAAAGCGUGGGGAGCAAACAGGAUUAGAUACCCUGGUAGUCCACGCGGCAAACGAUGAGCGCUAGACGUCGGAUGGGUGACUGUUCGGUGUCGAAGCUAACGCGCUAAGCGCUCCGCCUGGGGAGUACGGCCGCAAGGUU
This 549-nucleotide ribosomal RNA is filed under the name uncultured bacterium. RNAcentral's name for it is "bacterial SSU rRNA". It matches the Rfam family "Bacterial small subunit ribosomal RNA", at positions 353 to 895 of the family's 1533-position model. The record is from RNAcentral.